UACGGAGGGUGCAAACGUUGCUCGGAAUCAUUGGGCGUAAAGCGCACGUAGGCGGCCUGUUAAGUUGGGUGUGAAAGCCCUCGGCUCAACCGAGGAAGUGCACUCAAUACUGGCGGGCUUGAGUAUGGAAGAGGGUCGCGGAAUUCCUGGUGUAGCGGUGAAAUGCGCAGAUAUCAGGAGGAACACCGAUGGCGAAGGCAGGUCUCUGGGCCACUACUGACGCUGAGAAGCGAAAGCAUGGGGAGCGAACAGG
Molecule: ribosomal RNA, 253 nt
Filed under: uncultured bacterium
Lineage: Bacteria
Description: partial 16S ribosomal RNA
Rfam family: Bacterial small subunit ribosomal RNA
Source: RNAcentral